Camellia sinensis is the source of this 2517-nucleotide non-coding RNA. Lineage: Eukaryota; Viridiplantae; Streptophyta; Magnoliopsida; Ericales; Theaceae. The record is from RefSeq and is a predicted model, not a curated record.
UCUGUCUCUCUCUAUAUCUUCCAUCUACGAGUUCACUCCUGCUGGCAUAAGUUUGUUGAUCCACCUUCACCAAGCCGACAUCACCGCCCACUCUCUCUCGAUCUCGCCAUCGAUCUCGGUUAGUACAUGGAUAUCACCUCUCUAGGAGCUUUAGGAGUCUUCAACGUUCAAUCGGUACCUCUCUUUUACUUCCUUCGUAAACCCUAGAGUUUGAAGGCAAUGACUCUCUCUUUCUCUCGGUUUUAAUUUAAGAAUUUUGCAUUUGAUAUUUGUGUUAUGAAUUUGAAAUUUGUAAAAACCUAGAGCUUGAAGGUAAAGGUUAUCUCUUUGCAUUCGAAAUUUGUAUUACAGAUUGAAAUCCCGUAGAAUAAUAAACUUGUGUUGUUAAUUUCAAAGUUCCCUCUCACUUGCACGGCCACACAAAUUAAUGAUCCUAAUUGACUUUGUAGCCUAGUUAAUCCAGAAUUGGGUGAAUUUGGUUCUAUCCCUCAUUCUUUCAAUUUGUUUGAGUUUGGUUUGAUGUAUUAGGACAUAAUUUUUGAUGGGAAUAUUAGAAACUACCAGUUCCUAAUACAAGUUUUACUUCUUUCUACAUGAUUAAAUCUUAUGAUUCUGAAUCUUCAUGUUGCUGAGAACUUAUUUUGCUAUUUUACCGGACAGUUGAGCUGCUGAUUCUGUUUUUUUAUUCAUUAUAAGGUCAUGAAAUGCUUCAGAUUAAUCCCAAUGCCAGGAACUCUGCUACCUGAUUAUUGCUCAUUCAAAAGAAUAAACAAAAACUGAAACAAAAUGUGCAUAACCAUUUUAUGUCAAUGCUCUUGAAAUAUCCAGCAAUGCUUCUCUCUUUUAUUGCAAUCUCAAUGUUUUUAGGGAGCCUACAGCUUUCAAAUAUCUAUCUUUUGUCCCAUGGCCAAAAAUUGAUUUUGAUGUCCAUUGUGAUGAAUUAGGAUGCACCUGCAUACCUUGUUUCCUCAUAGUGCAUUCAUAACAAGAUUUACUUAACGUGUAUCUAUCAAUCGCAUAAGGCCAACUGACAACUCCGGGUUCACAAUAUUCAUGACUGGUUUAAGCUAUAAUGUGGCAUCUAAUGAAACUACCCAACAAUAGCUCAAGCUGAAUAUCAGAUAUGGGCACACAAACAACUAAAAGUCUUGAGCCAGAAAAAAUAAUAUAUAGUGCUAAAUGCUAAUAUAUACUUAGGCAGACCCAAUUAAAAUUCAGCCUCAAGAACAAAUUGAAAAAUCAAGUUCAAGGUGGAAAAAGAUUGAGGAAAAAAACUAUGGUAUUUGACUUUUUUAGAAAUAUCUUUUUUUCCUCUCAUUUUGUUAGAGAUACGUGCACAUAUAGAUCUAAAAAGACCCUAACACAUUACUUCAACUACAAUAUCUGACCAUAAUGACUUGCCCCGAAGUUUUGAAAACCAGCCUUACUAUAAUUUAUAGUAGGAUUAGUUAAGAAUAAUUUACAAUUACGUGGUCACCUAAGCUUGUUUUUUGGAAAAUAUUAGUGAUAUUGUAGGCCAUAGUGUACAAUUUUUUUGGUUGCAUGUGUAUAUUCAUUCAAGAACUUUCUAUAUAUUUGAGUGCCCUGGGAUAUUUUAUAGAUUAACUUCUUUGAUUUUGAUUAAUUUCUCUAUCCUUUUGCAGGUCAUAUACUUUUUUAGCCUAAUGGCCAAGGAAACAGAACACUUGGUACAUCAUUUGCAAACAUUACAUGCAAAACUAUUGUACCAUGUUUCAUAUGCUGAAGAUUGUCCUUUUCAUUGUGCAGAUCUAUUUGAACGAACAAACAACAAUUACAUGAAUGAUGGAGAGAAAAAUCUAGUUGCCGCCUCAACUCAAGAAACAUUCGUGUUGCUGAUCAUGUGGAUUUAGUUGGCAGCAAUGUUGCUAAUGACAAUCCUCAUUCAGGGUUAAUGUCCUUGCAUGGGUGUUCUAAGAGCAAAGCUUUUCAGCUUUUGAAUGGCUAGCAGUGUAAUGUGUUCACCUCCUUGGAACACUAUGCUGAACUAGGAUAGCCACCCCACAUGGCAGAAACAUUUGUCGACCGUCGGGUUUCCGCUGUUUGCCGUUGCUGGACGACUGCUGCUUCAUUCAGGCUCGUAUGAUGCAUUUGAUAUUGGUUUCAUAACAACAGAUGACUUCACAAAUGCGAAUAUUCUGGAAGCAACUUAUCCAGCUUUUGCAAAGAGGUUACACAGUGAUUGGAUUAGUGAUCCUGCAAUUCCUAUUGUUACUGGCUUCCUUGGAAAGGGCUGGAGAUCUUGUGCAGUGACUACAUUGGGUAGGGCUGGCAGUGAUUUGACAGCCACAACCAUUGGUAAAGCACUUGGGUUGCAAGAAAUUCAGGUAAUGAAAUGGGCCAUUCCCAAAGAAAAUGCCAAAUCAGCAUGCAAGCAAUGAACACUUGUAGUGUCCCUUCAAAUUAAAGGACCACUCACUAGACUCCCAAUUUUUUUGGGGAUGCAACUCUUUUGAGUACGUGAUGAUAUCUUCGCAUAUCGAUAUUGGAGCUUACUAU